RNAcentral lists this ribosomal RNA (253 nucleotides) under uncultured bacterium. RNAcentral's name for it is "partial 16S ribosomal RNA". It matches the Rfam family "Bacterial small subunit ribosomal RNA", at positions 524 to 776 of the family's 1533-position model. The record is from RNAcentral.
UACGUACGAGGCGAGCGUUAUCCGGAAUUAUUGGGCGUAAAGAGCGCGUAGGCGGUCCGGUAAGUCCGCUCUGAAAGUCCGGGGCUCAACCCCGGGAGGCGGGCGGAUACUGUCGGGCUAGAGUCCGGAAGAGGCGAGUGGAAUUCCUGGUGUAGCGGUGAAAUGCGCAGAUAUCAGGAGGAACACCGAUGGCGAAGGCAGCUCGCUGGGACGGUACUGACGCUGAGGCGCGACAGCGUGGGGAGCAAACAGG